AGCCCAUGGUGAGGGCACCUUCUCAACAGAUCCUUGUAUCUCUCACAAUCAUCGUAGAGUGUUUCUUGAUCCAUCUGCACAAAAAAAUAGAUAUCAUUCUUUAAUUU
This 107-nucleotide small nucleolar RNA is filed under the name Gossypium hirsutum (cotton). RNAcentral describes it as "Plant small nucleolar RNA R71". It matches the Rfam family "Plant small nucleolar RNA R71". Rfam says of the family: R71 is a member of the C/D box family of snoRNAs containing the C (UGAUGA) and D (CUGA) box motifs. Multiple nearly identical copies of this snoRNA have been identified in Arabidopsis, and it is thought to function as a 2'-O-ribose methylation guide for 18S ribosomal RNA. The record is from Rfam by way of RNAcentral. Lineage: Eukaryota; Viridiplantae; Streptophyta; Magnoliopsida; Malvales; Malvaceae.